Molecule: ribosomal RNA, 750 nt
Filed under: uncultured archaeon
Lineage: Archaea
Description: bacterial SSU rRNA
Rfam family: Archaeal small subunit ribosomal RNA
Source: RNAcentral
AUAAAAUAAAUGGUUUUUAUCUGCUAUAGGAUAGGAUCGUGUUCGAUUAUGGUUGUUGGUGAGGUAAUGGCUCACCAAGCCGAUAAUCGAUAGGGGCCGUGAGAGCGGGAGCCCCGAGAUGGGUACUGAGACAACGACCCAGGCCUUACGAGGCGCAGCAGGCGCGAAACCUCCGCAAUACACGAAAGUGUGACGGGGUUACCCAAAGUGUUCAAUUUUGAACUGUGGUAGGUGAGUAAUGUUCCCUACUAGAAAGGAGAGGGCAAGGCUGGUGCCAGCCGCCGCGGUAAAACCAGCUCUUCAAGUGGUCGGGAUAAUUAUUGGGCUUAAGGUGUCCGUAGCCGGUUUAGUAAGUUCCUGGUAAAAUCGGGUAGCUUAACUAUCUAUAUGCUAGGAAUACUGCUAUACUAGAGGGCGGGAGAGGUCUGAGGUACUACAGGGGUAGGGGUGAAAUCUUAUAAUCCUUGUAGGACCACCAGUGGCGAAGGCGUCAGACUGGAACGCGCCUGACGGUGAGGGACGAAAGCCAGGGGAGCGAACCGGAUUAGAUACCCGGGUAGUCCUGGCCGUAAACGAUGCAUACUAGGUGAUGGCACGGCCAUGAGCCGUGUCAGUGCCGUAGGGAAACCGUUAAGUGUGCCGCCUGGGAAGUACGGUCGCAAGGCUAAAACUUAAAGGAAUUGGCGGGGGAGCACCACAAGGGGUGAAGCCUGCGGUUCAAUUGGAGUCAACGCCGGAAAUCACUAGUGC